RNAcentral lists this transfer RNA (69 nucleotides) under Sinodendron rugosum. RNAcentral describes it as "tRNA-Gln". Lineage: Eukaryota; Metazoa; Arthropoda; Insecta; Coleoptera; Lucanidae. The record is from RNAcentral.
UAUAUUUUAGUAUAUGAUGUACAAGAGCUUUUGAUGCUUUGGGAAAUAGUUUAAUUCUAUUAAAUAUAA